RNAcentral lists this ribosomal RNA (253 nucleotides) under uncultured bacterium. Its description in RNAcentral is "partial 16S ribosomal RNA". It matches the Rfam family "Bacterial small subunit ribosomal RNA", at positions 524 to 776 of the family's 1533-position model. The record is from RNAcentral.
UACGGAGGGUGCUAGCGUUGUUCGGAAUCACUGGGCGUAAAGCGCGUGUAGGCGGCCCAUCAAGUCUGAUGUGAAAGCCCGGGGCUCACCCCCGGAAGUGCAUUGGAAACUGUUGGGCUCGAGUCCCGGAGAGGAGGGUGGAAUUCCUGGUGUAGCGGUGAAAUGCGUAGAUAUCAGGAGGAACACCAGUGGCGAAAGCGGCCACCUGGGCUGUACCUGACGCUGACACGCGAAAGCUAGGGGAGCGAACGGG